Non-coding RNA from Hordeum vulgare subsp. vulgare (domesticated barley), 123 nucleotides. Lineage: Eukaryota; Viridiplantae; Streptophyta; Magnoliopsida; Poales; Poaceae. The record is from Rfam.
UUAAUACUUCGUUCGUCCGAAAAUGCUUGUCUUAGAAAUAGAUGUAUCUAGACUUAUUUUAGUUAUAGAUACAUCCAUUUUAUAUAUUUUUGGACAAGUAUUUUCGGAUUGAGGGAGUAUAUU